RNAcentral lists this ribosomal RNA (492 nucleotides) under uncultured bacterium. Its description in RNAcentral is "partial 16S ribosomal RNA". It matches the Rfam family "Bacterial small subunit ribosomal RNA", at positions 29 to 507 of the family's 1533-position model. The record is from RNAcentral.
AGUGAACGCUGGCGGUAGGCCUAACACAUGCAAGUCGAACGGCAGCACAGUAAGAGCUUGCUCUUACGGGUGGCGAGUGGCGGACGGGUGAGGAAUACAUCGGAAUCUACUUUUUCGUGGGGGAUAACGUAGGGAAACUUACGCUAAUACCGCAUACGACCUACGGGUGAAAGCAGGGGAUCUUCGGACCUUGCGCGAUUGAAUGAGCCGAUGUCGGAUUAGCUAGUUGGCGGGGUAAAGGCCCACCAAGGCGACGAUCCGUAGCUGGUCUGAGAGGAUGAUCAGCCACACUGGAACUGAGACACGGCCCAGACUCCUACGGGAGGCAGCAGUGGGGAAUAUUGGACAAUGGGCGCAAGCCUGAUCCAGCCAUACCGCGUGGGUGAAGAAGGCAUUCGGGUUGUAAAGCCCUUUUGUUGGGAAAGAAAAGCAGCAGGUUAAUACCCCGCUGUUCUGACGGUACCCAAAGAAUAAGCACCGGCUAACUUCGUG